Non-coding RNA from Leptonychotes weddellii (Weddell seal), 2161 nucleotides. NCBI's taxonomy places the organism in Eukaryota, Metazoa, Chordata, Mammalia, Carnivora, Phocidae. The record is from RefSeq and is a predicted model, not a curated record.
UUCAUAUUUCUUCUGUGUCCUAAAGGACCGAUUUCUCCAUUAAGGGUUGAUGGAAAGGGGUCUUUGUGUCCCAAGUUAUUUAAAAUUAAGGCUUCUUGGGUUUUAUUUUCAGCUUUAAAAUGUUGAAGGGUUAUGAAAUGUUGAAGUAUAUGUAUGGUUUCUGGAAUUGCUAAUUAGGUAUAUUACUUAUUAGCACCCUAAUUUUACCUUCAGGAAUUAUCUUGAAAUGCUGCUUAUUCGAUCUUCUUGUAGGAAAUCUUCAAAGACCAUGUAGUACAUUUCCAUCUGUUUUGCAUGGCAGUCUGUGCUUAAUAAGUACUUAAAUGCACAUUGAAUAAAUGACACAUAACCUGGGGAUUAUAACUUUAUGGGAAGAAACGAACUGGUUUUAAACCUAAUUUCCUAGAUGUGUGACAUGUGAGGGGGAGGGAGAGCUUUGUGUGGGUUGGUUCGGGUUAGGAAAAGCAGGUAGAGUUCUCCAGCUCCCAGCUCACGUCUCCCGUGUGCGUCCACUCACACCCAUACUCCAGUUUCCUGUGUUCACAAAGUCAAGUGCUGUACUGGAAAAAUGAAUUGAACUGAACUGUUCUAGUUAGACCCUGAGGAAAAUCAUGCCCUUUGCUGGGCCUGUUUCCUUUACUUAGAACAUUAUCUAGAAAAGAAGGGUGUAGAGUUCAGUCAUUUAAAAACAUUUUCACUAGUGGGAGCCUUUCUUUAAAUGAAAUCUUACCAGAAGCCCCCUGUGUAAAUGAGAUUUUCAAAACUUGCUCUUUGGGGUGGGCGAGCUGUGGGUUGGCACACACGAUGGGCUCAGCUUCUCCCUGCCUUCCUUGGGCGGCACUGAAUUACCUUCUAGACACCGUGUCUGCUCUUAUGAGCAGCUUCAAAACCACUGGCCUAGGACACAUGGCGGGAUUUGAGCGGUUUUAUAAAAUAUAGUACUGAUUUAGUAUUCUGCACUACCAAAAUCUUUUUUAACCAAGAUCCCAGUAAGCAUAUAUCCUGUAUUUAAAAAUGGAAAGACGUUAGCUAAAUAUCAAAAUGCCUUGAGAAGCAAGUUGAUAUUGCUGAAUGUUUUCUUUUACAGCAAGAAUAAUAACAACUUUAAUGACCACCAGUGACUUUACAAUUCUUGUGCGAUUUGUGAUCAUGCUUGCUUUGAACCUGUGGGUAACAGCCACAGUACGUCACUACAGGACGACAGUUGGAAAGGCUGAAUGAUGGAUGCGUUGCUCCAACACACAAAGUGGUUUCCUAAUAACCAAAGGGGAAAAUAAGCUCACUGCUAAAUCAAGGUCUUCUAUAAAUUUAGUCAACUGUUUCAGAAACUUUGAAGCUGGAGGUAUUUUAGACAUGAGCCACUUAGACACUUGUUUAGAAACGUUGAUUCCCUCCCUCUCCUCGGCCUCAGGAGGUGGGGGGCAGGGCUCAGACACCUGCAGGUUGAGCAUCAUGAUGAAGUUCUCUCCAAAGAGCUAACUACAUCUGGUUUUCAGCUUUCAGAAUCUUGUAAGAAAUAAAUCCUCUCCAUGGCACAUUAUGAAUGGAGUGGGAUUUUUCCCAAAGUCAGAAGUGGAACUGUGGUAAAUUACUAGGGUUCACUUUCUGGGACUGUUUAAUUUUAACACAGAUUUAACAGGCUGGCCUUACUGUAUCAUAAUACAAUAUAGUACCUCCUUAUGCUAUAAGGACAUCGAGGCAAGCAAAAAUUGGCUUGAGUUCAUAUACCAAAGUUAGUCCUUUAACCUCAUAUAGUGCCUUUAAGUAAUUCCUAAGGAAAGGUACUAUUAGCUGCAAUCUCUACUUAGGAUGAGGCAGUCCCGAUGAACUUUCUGAUUCAAGCAUAAUGCUGCCGUUUUUAAAAGGGUCACACCUUUAAAAAAAAAAACACAAACACAUCUUGUCCAUUAAUACAUACAGUAAAGGGUAUUGCUGGGUUCUGCCCAGUUCUUACGGAUUUCAUUCUCAUUGUAUCAUAUUCUAAACAUAAGAUUAUUGGAUAGUGCAUUUUACUAUAAAAGUUUAUAAACUCUAAAAUUUAAAAACUCUUUACCCUUAUAAUUGAAUGGCAUUAUUCUGUUAUAUGUAAUAAGUCAAUAGUGUUUGUUAGAAAAUGUUUUAGUUUCCUAUGUCAAAUAAAACUUUCAUAUUCUGAACUCUG